UGUAAAUGCGUUCCGUUUGUCAUAACGCGUUGUAAAUGCGUCCCGUUUGUCAUAACGCGUUGUAAAUGCGUCCCGUUUGUCAUAACGCGUUGUAAAUGCGUUCCGUUUGUCAUAACGCGUUGUAAAUGCGUUCCGUUUGUCAUAACGCGUUCAAGGAAGGCCUGCAGAAAAUUCAGUCAUUACCGACCGCGAUCACUUCUGGUCUGGGAACGGGUGAGAGUCCACGCCAAAAGACGAACAAUGCCUCUUCAGUUCGUGCCCAACAAAAGAGCGAGGGAACGUAUUUGAGUUUCAGAGCACGUCCUUUCUUACACAGAAGAGUGGACUAACCCCCCCCUAAAAAAAAAAAAAAAAAAAAAAGAACUUGCAGACUCUCAGAGCUUCAAUUGUGCACUCUUUAUUUGGUGCUGUAGAUGUUAUGGGAAAGUUCUCUCUCGCUCACUCUCCCCCCCGCCCCCUUCCUCUCAAUCUCUCCUUCUCUCAUGUGCUCGGAAUAUGCUCAGGGUUAACUCAGAGCAACCGAAGCACGCGUAAUGAAUUGAGUAUUAGCGGCAAUUUUAAAGGAAGGGACGGCCGUGGAAGGCUGGAUAUUUGGCGGACUGUCCAACGGGUCCCACACAGCAUGUAUCUUAUAUGGGAUGAUUUCUGAUUGCAUAUGCCGAUUGCGGCGAUGCUUCUCGCGCAGUUUGAGAAAGUGAGAGAGGAGUCAUCGGGAGCCAGACAGAGAGUACCAGGAUAACGGCUGUGUCCAUGUGUUAAGGAUGACCCACAGAUCACAGAGAUGGAGCAUCUAUCUGCGUGACCCUUUACUGUUGUCUCUAGUGGGGCUCGAGACAUGGGCUUCGAACACCACCUGAACAUCAACAUGCACAACCAUCAAGAUACAGUACGCUGAGAAGACAGAUACAGAACUCUACUAUUUAUAAUCAGCAUGCAUAUAUCUGUUCUAGAUACACAGAAACCACCAAAUACACACUAACAUCCUUUGAAUCAAGUCAGUUUUUUGUAUCAUUGUGAUUUAAAUCUGUAAGUUGUAAAACUGUUUACCAUGUCUACUCACUGGGAUGUAGAAGUACAACAUUAUUUAUUCUGAAUUGUAAAAGUCUGUAUUGGUGUAUUGGAUUUUGAAUUAACCUGUCCUUAGAAUACAGCAUAACAUCUGAAGGGAACCCGCAGGACACAUUGUCUUUAUCUGACAUUGACUGAAUUUAUAGAAAAAGUAAACAUCAAAGGGAAUAUUUUUGUACUUUCUCAAAUCAUUGUAUUUUCUCAAUGAACAGAAUAAAAUAUAUUCAAGAAUAUUUUGUUUCUGAGUUUUUUACAGUAUGUCUACAGUACUGUAUAUACCUUUGACAUGACUAGAUCCUCUGUGGGAUCAAUGUGAA
Oncorhynchus tshawytscha (Chinook salmon) is the source of this 1385-nucleotide long non-coding RNA. Lineage: Eukaryota; Metazoa; Chordata; Actinopteri; Salmoniformes; Salmonidae. The record is from Ensembl.